This 758-nucleotide ribosomal RNA is filed under the name uncultured Antarctic cyanobacterium. Its description in RNAcentral is "bacterial SSU rRNA". It matches the Rfam family "Bacterial small subunit ribosomal RNA", at positions 28 to 829 of the family's 1533-position model. The record is from RNAcentral. Lineage: Bacteria; Bacillati; Cyanobacteriota.
GAUGAACGCUGGCGGUAUGCGUAACACAUGCAAGUCGAACGGGUGUCUUCGGAUCUAGUGGCGGACGGGUGAGUAACGCGUGAGAAUCUGCUUUCAGGAUGGGGACAACAGUUGGAAACGACUGCUAAUACCCGAUAUGCAGCGAUGUGAAAGAUUUAUCGCCUGGAGAUGAGCUCGCGUCUGAUUAGCUAGUUGGUGUGGUAAAGGCGCACCAAGGCGACGAUCAGUAGCUGGUCUGAGAGGAUGAGCAGCCACACUGGGACUGAGACACGGCCCAGACUCCUACGGGAGGCAGCAGUGGGGAAUUUUCCGCAAUGGGCGAAAGCCUGACGGAGCAAUACCGCGUGAGGGAGGAAGGCUCUUGGGUCGUAAACCUCUUUUCUCAGGGAAGAACAAAAUGACGGUACCUGAGGAAUAGGCAUCGGCUGACUCUGUGCCAGCAGCCGCGGUAAUACAGAGGAUGCAAGCGUUAUCCGGAAUGAUUGGGCGUAAAGCGUCCGUAGGUGGUUAUGUAAGUCUGUGGUUAAAGCGUGGAGCUCAACUCCAUAAGGGCCAUGGAAACUACAAGACUAGAGUCAAGUAGGGGUAGAGGGAAUUCCCAGUGUAGCGGUGAAAUGCGUAGAGAUUGGGAAGAACACCGGUGGCGAAAGCGCUCUACUGGACUUGUACUGACACUGAGGGACGAAAGCUAGGGGAGCGAAAGGGAUUAGAUACCCCUGUAGUCCUAGCCGUAAACGAUGGAUACUAGGUGUUGCCCG